Molecule: ribosomal RNA, 1482 nt
Filed under: Triticum aestivum (bread wheat)
Lineage: Eukaryota; Viridiplantae; Streptophyta; Magnoliopsida; Poales; Poaceae
Description: partial small subunit ribosomal RNA
Source: RNAcentral
AUGAAACCCGGCACAGCUACAGCAGCACUCGUCCAUUGGCGCUCGUUCUUGCCCGGUCCACCGAUGACGCUUGACGGCGGCUUGCCAGUCACCGCCGACGGCGCCGGCGUGCCCACGGUCGCGGAGAGGAGCGGCGGCGGCUGCGGCGCCCGCGUGGCGCCGGAGGUGGUGGUGGAGCGGGACGGCGGCAGCGGUGCCGGCGUUACCAUCCUUGCGAUGGAGAGGGAUGGCGGCGUUGGUGCCGGCGUGGCGCCCACUGCGGCGGAGAGCGAGGGCGGCGGCGGGAGGAGCUGCGGCGAGCAGUGCGUGAUCCGGGUGGCGGAGGAGUCGUGCUGCGCGCGGUGCGUGUGCGUGGGGCCGAACCCGAUGAUGGCGCGGUACGUGUACGCGCUCAUCUUCCUGGUGACCAACCUGCUGGCCUGGACGGUCCGCGACUACGGCCACUCGGCGCUGGGCGAGCUCCGGCGGCUCAGGGGCUGCCAGGGCGCGCGCUACUGCCUGGGCGCCGAGGGCGUGCUGCGCAUCAGCCUCGGCUGCUUCCUCUUCUUCUUCGUCAUGUUCCUGUCCACCAUGAAGACGCGCAAGGUGCACGACUGCCGCAACUCGUGGCACUCCGAGUGGUGGCCGGUGAAGAUCGUGCUCUGGAUGGCCCUCACCGCCGUCCCCUUCUUCGCGCCCUCGCCGCUCAUCCAGCUCUACGGGAAGGUGGCACAUUUCGGAGCAGGGGCGUUCCUCGUGAUCCAGCUCAUCAGCGUGACCAGGUUCAUCACGUGGCUCAACGACUGCUGCCGAUCGGAGCUGAACCUCAAGAGAUGCCACAUGCAGGUGCUGGUGGUGUCGAUCGUGACGUACGUGGGGUCCAUCCUGGGGAUCGUGCUCAUGUACGUGUGGUACGCGCCCACGUCCGCCUGCAAGCUCAACAUCCUCUUCAUCACCGUCACCCUCGUGCUCGUGCAGCUCAUGACUUUCGUCUCCGUCAACUCCAAGGUGAAGGCGGGGUACCUGGCGCCGGGGUUGAUGGGGAUAUACAUCGUGUUCCUCUGCUGGUCGGCGAUCAGAAGUGAGCCGCACACGGAGAUCUGCAACAGGAAAGCAGAGGUGGCGACAAGCGCGGACUGGCUCAACAUCGCGAGUUUCGUGAUCGCGGUGAUCGUCGUCGUCGCGGCGACCUUCUCGACGGGGAUAGACUCAAAGUGUAUUCAGUUCAAGAGCGCCGAGACGGAGUCCGAGGACGACGACAUCCCGUACGGGUUCGGCUUCUUCCACUUCGUGUUCGCCAUGGGCGCCAUGUACUUCGCCAUGCUCUUCAUCGGCUGGAACGCGCAUCAGGAAAUGGAGAAGUGGACGAUCGACGUGGGCUGGGCGAGCACGUGGGUGCGCGUCGGCAACGAGUGGCUAGCGGCGAUCACGUACAUAUGGAUGAUCGUCGCUCCGAUCGUGUGGAAGCGGAGGCAGGUGGGGUCGUCGUCCGCGUGUGCGUGA